This 3976-nucleotide long non-coding RNA is filed under the name Marmota monax (woodchuck). The record is from RNAcentral. Lineage: Eukaryota; Metazoa; Chordata; Mammalia; Rodentia; Sciuridae.
CAGCCUUUUUUUUUUUUUUUGUAUUUUAUUUAGAGACAAGGUCUCACUGAGUUGCUUAGCCCCUUGCUUUUGCUGAGGCUGGAUUUGAAUUUGCAAUCCUCCUGCCUCAGCCUCCCAGGCUGGUGGGAUUACAGGCAUGUGCCACAGCACCAGGUGGAAGGACAAUUUCUUGAUGUGAAAUAAUCAGGCAGAUCUGUGGCAGGGCUGCUUAAGCCUGUGGAUAGAGAUCCAUAUGUUUAGUUUUUGUCUCCACCUCUUUUUUCCCCUAUUUUCUGUUACCUGUCCUUACAAUACACUCAAUCAUGUAUGUGCAGCAAGGCCUGUAAAUAUAGACAUCACCCAUUAUUAAGUGGUGGACCUCUCUUACUAAGUGAAAAAGAAACAGUCCAAAAGUACUCUAGGAGUAGAGUGGAGGUUGCCAGGGACUGGGAGUUAUCUUUAUUAAGGGUGAAAAGUUGCAAUUUGCCAAGAUGGAAAUGUUCUGAAGAUGGUUGGUGGUUAUGGUUGUACAACUGUGAAUGUACCCAAUGUCAUGAAACUGUAGAAUUCUAGUUAAAUAUUAAAUUUUGUGAGUAUUUUACUAAUACACACACACACACAUAUAUGUGUGUGUGUGUGUAUUAAAUAAGUCUGAUUCAGAAAGUCAAGGUUGAAUGUUUUCUCUCAUAGAAGGAAGCUUGACCAAAGAAAGGGGAAAAAGUGGGGGAGGAAUCCUGUGAAAAUAGAAGGGAGAUCAGUGGAGCAAAGGAUGGGGAGGGAGGAGGAAUGGGAAAGGAGAGGAACAAUGGAAUGAAAUUGACCAAAUUAUGCUAUGUACAUGUGAAUGCACCACAGUGAAUUUGACCUUUAUGUUUAUAUAUAAAGAACUAAAAUUUAAAAUUAUAAAUAAAUAGAAGGAAGACCAUUAGAGUAGAAGGGAAAUAGGAGGAGGGAGAAGGAGAGGAAAAAGGGAAGUACUGGGGACUGAAGUGGAGCAAAUUUUAUUCCAUGAUAUAUAAUUAUGUCAAAAUGAGCCCCACUAUUAUGUGUAACUAUAAUAUACUAAUAAAACAUUCAGAAGUAAACACAUAUGCUGUGUUGAUGAAGAUUUACUACUGAUAUACCACUCUUUAAAAUGCCUUUUUUUAAAUUGAUUUUUUUAUAGGACAGCGGAAUACAUUACAAUUCAUAUUACACUUACAGAGAAAAUUUUCAUAUCUCUUGUUGUAUAUAAAAUAUAUUUACACCAAUUUGUGUUUUCAUACAUGUACUUUGGAUAAUGAUAUGCAAACAUAAGUCAAAUGUUAUUCAAGUCAAAAUGUCUGACUUUCUGUGAUCUCAUUUUUCCCUUUUCUGGUUGAAUCCUAUCACUCCUAUUUCAAAACUUAGCUUACAUACCACUUUUUCUAAGUAGUGUUUUCUAAUUUCUCAGCUAGAAUUAACAGUUCCAUUUUUUUCUUUGAAAUUACACUUAACCAGUAAGGGGGAAGAGCAUAUGACUCAGUAAAUCCCAAAGGUAUAUAUGCUAGAGAAAUGAAAAUAAAAUGUUCACAUAGUCACAGUUGACAUGUUUGUCUCCAACACUGGAACAUCGGCUUGAAAGGAGUGUUGUCUUGUAUAUCUAAGGAUUCUGGUUUCCUGAGUACUCAGAAGCCUGGAAUCAAAAAGAUGAUCAAUAAAAAGCUGGUUGCACUACUUUUAUUAAUUGCAAUAAAUGCAGUAGCAAAUGAAGUAAAUGCAAAUGCAUUUAAAAAGAUUUUCUUUCAGUCUUCUUAUUAGUAAAGGUAAAUGCACAAAUGUGAUUAUGAGGUGGUAAUUAGAAAACUAUGUCUAUAUUUCAAUGUCUAUAUCAUAGAUAUAUAGAUAUAGUAUCUAUAUAGCUAUAUAAUUUUAUGUAUCUAAUAUAUAUGUGUGUGUGUGCCGCAGUCCGGCUGCAGCAAAAUAACCGGGGGGCAACGAGCAACUUGUGUAGAUUGAUACAGCUGGAGUGGGAGCCGUUUAUUGUAGGACAGGAGUGGUAUAUAUACAUUCCACACAGCUUAUCUUAAUUAACAUAAACUAGAUACAGCAGUCAACCAAUAAGGAAUCUCCACACUUAAUGGCUCCCUGGCGUUACUUCACAAACCACUCCCUCUGGCAAAAUGCCAGGCACCAUCCAGACUUGUUUACAGACUCUAACAUUUGUCAGGUGCCAUCCAGACUUGUUUACAGACUCUAACAUUUGUCAGGCUCCAUCCUGACUUUUUUACAGACCCUAACAUUUCCCCCUUUUGUUUAAUUUAAAUAACCAGCAUAGUGGUUUUUACACAAACACCAUAAAUAAUCUGCUACAAGCAGAAGGGGAGGAUACAAAAUGCCACAAUACCAAGCCAAUUGAUGGCUCCAUGCAAGAAGCCCUUGGAAAAAUUAUACCAGCAAUGACACCAUUAGCAAAGAUACCGAGUUACAAUUUGUUGUAGAUUACAGUUUGUUGUCUCAGUCCAGGUAAAGUAGUGUCUCAAUAGAUUAACUCACAGUCCAGGUAAAUCAAAGUCCAGGUAAGUUCUGCAGGCAGCUAGCUUAAAUCACAGUCCAGGUAAGUGCUGCAGGCAUCUAGCUUGAUCCAAAGUCUUGUCCGGUUCUCUUCCACCUUCGUCUUCACUGGCACUGGGACGAAGGCAGGAACUCCGGAUGGCUAAAGAAAAUCCUGUAGUAUUCCAGCAGACACUAAGAAAACAAUCUUCUGAACAAUUUAGUACAUUAUCUCAAGGUUUUUUACAUUUGAAAUAAGCCUUAAUAGUGCUCAUUACUCAUUAGCUUCCAGGUGUGGGAGAACCACUGUAGUUACCGGCCUUGGAAAUAAUCAAACUUCAGGGACACGGGCCAUCUUCCAUUUGCAGCAUCUCUGACAGCCCCAGAUGGCCCCAGAGAGAGUCCGGGGAGUGUCCCGGGCAGAGGCCCGGGGAGAGUCCCAGGGAGCGUCCCGGACUCAAACUGUCACUGGGCACAGGGAACAAGAGCCUGAGAGACUGUGCCUCCAGGUCAGGUUUGGAUUUGGGCUCUCGAAAUGGCAUCCCACUCCCCAGGCAGGGGGUAGGGAAGAGCCGGCUGCUGCUGUUUGGAAAGUCCUUGCUGCGCCAUGACCGGCUCACGCAUGUGGCAGUGGCCGCCGCUGCCGAUUGAUGUACCCUCCCGUAAUGAAAAGUAUUUAGUAGUAGCCUUUUGCAAUUUCUUUCUUGAUAAUCUUUCCUCCUCUGAACUUUUUUAUUCUUUCUGAUUAGAGUUCCUGGGAUUCUAUCAACACAUGCCCUAACUAUUCUUGGUUCCAUUGGGGUGCCUCUUUCCCUUAGUAAUUUACUUCUCACCCCUUCCAUAUUUUCAUCAUAAAGACAAUACAAUACACUGAGACAAAACAAGACACAAACAUACUGUAUCAAUCUUCUCCAUUUUCUCGAAAUGGCCAUUUUUCCUCUUGCCCUAUCUGCCUAGGGACAAGCAGAUUUGCUCCUGUCCUAUCUAUGGAUGGGCAGCUUUUUUUCAUCACUUACCCCCGAGUGUCCCGGGGCUCCCCAUACGGGCCACCAUCUGCCGCAGUCCGGCUGCAGCAAAAUAACCGGGGGGCGAUGAGCAACUUGUGUAGAUUGAUACAGCUGGAGUGGGAGCCGUUUAUUGUAGGACAGGAGUAGUAUAUACAUUCCACACAGCUUAUCUUAAUUAGCAUAAACUAGAUACAGCAGUCAACCAAUAAGGAAUCUUCACACUUAAUGGCUCCCUGGCGUUACUUCACAAACCACUCCCUCUGGCAAAAUGCCAGGCACCAUCCAGACUUGUUUAUAGACUCUAACAUUUGUCAGGUGCCAUCCUGACUCGUUUACAGACCCUAACAUGUGUGUGUGUGUGUGUGUGUGUGUGUGUAUAUGUAUAUAUAUAUAUAUAUAUAUAUAUAUAUAUAUAUAUAUGAUGCAGAUAUUUAAAAUUCAAGAAACUAGGUGGAAAAAUAUUCCAAAAAUUAAUUUUC